Molecule: ribosomal RNA, 291 nt
Filed under: Burkholderia ubonensis
Lineage: Bacteria; Pseudomonadati; Pseudomonadota; Betaproteobacteria; Burkholderiales; Burkholderiaceae
Description: partial 23S ribosomal RNA
Rfam family: Bacterial large subunit ribosomal RNA
Source: RNAcentral
GUUAUAGGGUCAAGCGAACAAGUGCAUGUGGUGGAUGCCUUGGCGAUCACAGGCGAUGAAGGACGCGGUAGCCUGCGAAAAGCUACGGGGAGCUGGCAAACGAGCUUUGAUCCGUAGAUGUCCGAAUGGGGAAACCCACUCCUUAUGGAGUAUCCAUGGCUGAAUACAUAGGCCAUGUGAAGCGAACGCGGUGAACUGAAACAUCUAAGUAACCGCAGGAAAAGAAAUCAACCGAGAUUCCCAAAGUAGUGGCGAGCGAAAUGGGAUGAGCCUUGUACUCUUUAUUUGUAU